Myxocyprinus asiaticus (Chinese sucker) is the source of this 5373-nucleotide long non-coding RNA. RefSeq lists it as uncharacterized. Lineage: Eukaryota; Metazoa; Chordata; Actinopteri; Cypriniformes; Catostomidae. The transcript has 5 exons. The record is from RefSeq and is a predicted model, not a curated record.
UCAAUGAUAAAUUGACUAAAUAAGUUAUCUAUCCUCUAAUUUCUUUAUCAAAGUAAAUAAAGCCUCUUUUGGCGCAGAGACAGAAAAAGUGGAAAAGUGUUUCAUUGCAUUGCUAGUUUAUGUUCUACCAUUCUGACUUUUGCUAAAAGCAUUAAUUGAUUACUGUUCUCUAGACUAUAUAUUGAAAUUUCAAAUUUCAAACAAAUUAAAAGUCUUUGUCUUCCAAACUUUCUGAAUUUUGUCAAACAUGUGACUGUUGACUCUGCUAAAUGGAAGUUUAGAAAGAGUUUCCUGGAGGAUGAGUGGUUAUUAAGCUUAAAAUGUCCCUCGGGUACUUAUUUAAGAGCUUACGCAGAAAGUAUGCCAAAGCCAGAUAUAGCCGUGUGCUCAGACCUUAUCACUCUUAGAAAUGAGCAUGUCUGACAAAAGGCAGAUUAGGGGUGCUUCAGGAAUGUGUCUAGAGCCAUACUGACUUUUCUUAGGCCCAUGCUAUCAAUUACCUACUCAUUUGGAAGAUGCCAAGGGACUUAAGUUUUAAGUUUGGCCAUAUUGCAUAUUUGUAACAAUAUUUCCUAAAAAUGUUUGCAAUUGUAGUGAGGCAGACUACUGUUUUGUAGUAUUUCCCCUGGUUUUGUCAUUUGUGUAUAAUGGUGACUUUCCCUUUUAUGCAUAAUAUAUUUUAACUUUAAUGCGACUUGCAUUAUGCAGUGUGUAUAAGAACAUCGCAUCUGUCUGUUUUAUUGUAUCAUGCCCCUCAGUAUUAGGUGGGUUUUUAUAGCCUAUCUGCAUGCGUUUGUGGGAUAUAUUAGGGUGGCUACGUGCUGCCUAGACACGCGUCACAGUCUAAUGACCUCCCCCUUUCCAGUAUUGGAUGCUUCUGCUCCAAAGGUAUGUGUUGUUGUUGUUUAUGUUAGAUGGCUAAAAGCUUGGCUCUGGUACCCUGUGCUAUUGUUAGUUCCUUUGUAUGUGAUAGCUUUUGUCUGAGUUCAGUUUCAGUUGUGUUUCAGUCUGCCUGUUCCAUAUUGUAUACCACCUGUGUAUUCGCGGCCAUAAUUCUGACUGUAGCUCCAACACUUUUGGUGAAAUACCUGCUCACCAGAAUGUGUCUGUCUGUAUGGAAGCUGCAGGAGCUGAGGGCCCAAUAUAGGAGGCUAGCCAUUCCCCGCAAAAUGGUGGUAGUGCCCCUGUCACAUGCGGAGUGCUGUUUAUUCACAACUGAUUCACCUGUGUGCUUGUGUGAGUGUGAGUGUACACUUGUGGGUGAAGUGUCUUUUUAUCGGAGGAUCACUGCGCUCAGCUAGCCUACCUGCUCCUGUGCCCCAGUUAUGAAACCGCGUACAUCCCACUCAGUCAGAGGUUUAAGCUCCUGCUCCCUCCCAAAGGGUAUGUACCAAUAUGCAUGGAGCACAUUUUCACAGAUGACAUCAGAGAACAAGCAUAUGAAUUACCAGGCAGCCUGCCAUCUUUGAGUUCAGACAGAAUGCCAUUAAUACCAGAUGAAGAGCCCAAACAACAACAGCACAACAACAUGAAAGCCCAAAACAACUGGGACCAGAUACUCUCCUGCUCUCUCUUUGCCCCAAAAGUUGCGACACCAUUGAAACUACCAGCAGACUUGAGGGACUUGUAAAAAAGAUUCUGGUCAGCAAAUCACAUUAUGAUGAAUAAAAUAUAUGCCACUCUUGACCAUGACUUAUUUAAGAGCUAUUAUAAAUUCAUGCUUACAAUUAAAAAAAAACACAAUCAUUUCAAAAUGGAAUGGCAAUAAAUAUUAGUAUUACCCAAUUAAGUCACAAUUAAUUCUAAGCAGGCUGAUAAGCUACAAAGAACAUUCCAAUUAGAAGAUGAACAUAUCAAGAAAAUGAGAGGGAGAAGAAUAUUUCCACCUGGAAAUAUGAGGAUAUAGAUUAGAUGCAUAAAGAGGCAAUAUAGAGGCUAUCAUAUGGUGUCUUUUGGCAAUUUCGAACAAAAUGUAUACAGUCCUGUGAAUUGCUACUACCUUCGCUGGGAAGACAAUGUCCAGUUUAUGACCAUAAAGAUUUUUUAGGCUAUUAAUAAUGUGUGAAAAGACACAAUUGAGACUGAAAAUUCAGACUGAAAAAAGACAAAAAUAAAAUUCUUUAAAUUUUUUCAAGCAUUUGCUUGAAAAAUCAUUGCUACUGUCAUUCAGUGUGUGGACUGCAACUUCUGUAAUUUUUUAAAUAAUAAGUAUAAAGUUUCUUCCCUCAAGUGCAGCCGCAUGUGUUGGCCAGAAAUCAGGUAAAGGGAAAAAUAAAACUUGAAACUUUCCAGGAAUCAGGAAUAAUUCUGUCCACAACAUAUUAUCCACAUCAUCAGCCUUUGACAUUCAGCAGUAUGCCUCUGUAUAGACAGAGAGGAAAACAGGCCGAAAAGAAAAACAAAGUUUAUGUAUUUCAAAAAGCAUGCACACAUUAUAAACUAGCAACACAUUGGCCUAAAUCAUGUUCUCAAAAUUCUCAUAUGUGAACUUUAAAUGUAAACCCGUGGAGGCCAUUUUAGAUUAAUAUUGCAUAAACUGUGUAUAUAUAUAUAUAUAUAUAUAUAUAUAUAUAUAAAAUCUAACAUUUCCACUUGCAUCUCACAAAUAAAAAAAGUCAGAGGCUUCAUGCCCAUUCAAAUUACACAUGCCCCCUCAGAUUGUGAGCUAAGUGAUUUUAAAUUCAAUGUCAAAAUUCACUCAUUUGACUUUUUUUUUUCUCUCAAAACACAAAAGUAAUAAUCAUACAAAUGUCACAGCUGCUCUUUUACGAACAAUAAGGAUGCAUGGUGAUCACUGGCUGUCAAACACCUUCUUAUUCUGUCCAUAUGUGUUUUUUCAUUUAAAAAAAAAUACAUGCAUAGAUAUAUAUAUAUAUAUUCACUCUCAGAUCAAAUUAAAUUAUUGUAAACUCAUGCAAACAGAACGCAAAUCCAAUAUGGUGACACAUCAAUAACGUCAAACUACAUUGGCUCUUGCACAUGUCAUGACCAAACUUCAUGACACCAUGCCACAAGAAUCAUUUGAAGUGAUAAGUAUUUUUUAAUGAAAUACUUCAGAUGAAUUGGGUGAUUCUCAGAUUACAGGCAUAUUUCUGUCUCUGGGAUGUAUUUAUAGGAAAAACACAUUUCACAUAACUAUUUUAAAUGUCCAUAGUCAGUUUAGACAAAGACAGAUCUAGACUUUUUUAUUGUGUCUCAAGAUAAUUAUUUUAGUACAUUUUAUGUGUGUUUUAUGGUUGAAAAUGAAUGUUUUGGUGCUGUCCCCAACCCUGAGUUUCAAAUAUAAUGAUUUAAAUUAACAUAUUUAAAUUAAAUAUUUCCAUCAAAAUUGUGCAGUUUUUAGUGUAUUUUAAUUAAACAUUUUUUAAGCUAGAAUAUUAUUAACAAAUUUUAAGUAUACAUCUGGAUUUUGUUCUUUAUUUCCUUUCAUUUAUACCUGUCCCUUAAUAUAGCCGUCAUUACCAACACACUCUACAUAAUGCAACAAAAUAAUAAUGGUAACUUGAGAUCCUAGUGGAGCUCAUGUCUGUCAAGAAAGAAGACUGGUCUUUUGAUGUCCAGAAAGGUAAGAAAAUGUACUCUUUAGUCAUAGUGAUAGGCAUGUACACUUAUUGCGUGACAUCACCAAACAAGUUAUAUUUUUGUUAACUUAAAUUAUUUUGAUGAAUUUUUACUUAUUUUCUCAUUAAUUUACUGUACUUUACAUGUAGCUAUGCAGCUAGACUUGCUAGUCAUCUAUGAGGCUAGUUUUUUUUUUUUUUUGCAAAAAUGGCAAAUAUGUCAUCACAAGCACGUUACAGCUUGUGAUAGUGAUUACGGGUCGUGGUGGUAAUGACAAAACCCAAAAUUCCAGCAACCCAUUUCUGCCUCUAUUUUGAGAAAUACCCAAUUACAAUCGAAUGGCAUACAGUACAUGAAUGAAAUACAUUACAUGACCUCAGUUGAACUGUUAUAAAAAUGUUUCAUAAAAUAUUUAAGUGAAUAAAAUAGUUGUUUUCUAUAAUUUCAGAUAUUUGUAGAAAAACAAAAUAAAAAACAAAUUUCCAAUAUUUGUAGAACUGCAUUCUUCCAUCUCAGAAAUACUGCCAAGUUACGACACGUUAUCUGUUUCUGAUGCCGAAAAACUAAUUCAUGCGUUCAUGACGACAAGACUAGAUUAUUGUAAUUCAUUACUAGGUGGAUGUUCUGCAGGUUUAAUAAAUAAACUUCAGUUGGUUCAAAAUGCAGCAGCGAGAGUGCUAACUAGAACCAAGAAAUACGAUCAUAUCAGCCCCAUUUUAUCGGCGUUACAUUGGCUUAUAAGUACUUAAGUGACCUUCUGUCAUGCUAUAAUCCAUCGCGCUCAUUACAAUCGCAAAACUCCAGCCUGUUAACAAUACAGAGAAUAUCAAAAUACACAAAAGGAUGGAGAUUAUUUUCAUAUUUGGCUCCUAAACUAUGGAAUAAUCUUCCUAGCAGUGUUCGGAACUCAGACACACUCUCUCGGUUUAAAUCUAGCCUUAAGACUAAUCUAUUCAGCCAGGCAUACACCUAAUUUAUCCCUCAAUUCAUAACUAUGCUGCUUUAGUUAGAUCUGCCGGAACCAAAAACACUUCUCUUAUUCUUUAACCCUGCUUUAAAGUGAAUGGCAUCUACGUUAAUUUUAUUCUACUUCUCAGGGUUGUAUCCCAAGGUUACCAGAGCCUGCCAGAUCCAUCUCCAGUCCUGCCUGAUGUCCGAUUCCCACUGUGUCGCUGAGUGAUGAUGACCAACUGCAGCAUGUGCCAGCCAGACUUCACUUCAGUCUACUAAGACAGACUUCACAGAAGAUGCAAACUCAAAGACACAGGAUUCAUCAUGAGCCACUGUCUGAAGCAUGGGCUCAGGAUGGAGUUCACCAAAAUUACCUGCCAUAAGCUUCCAGCCAGACUGCGAUGAUCCUCACUGAAUGCUACCAUUAUCAACUUGGACUAAGGAGGGAGAACACUCUCUUAAAAUACAUAGAAAAUGAAUUAACCACUAAAAAAGACUUCAUUGGCCAAAAUCAAAGGACAGUGCAUAUACGUGUAUUUCCUCAGUUAAUUCGGGAUGACUUCAAGGACUUUAACACUAAAACUUAUAGUUCAUAUAAAAUCAUUUUGUUUAAUCAUUGACCUACAACACUUACUUAGUUUACUAAUUUUAACCUCUAAUAGUUCAAAGCAUAAAUAACUAAUAUUGGUAUUAUAUUCAUUCAUUUUCUGUUAUAGCAUAAUUUCAUGUACAGCUGCUUUGAAACAAUGACUAUUGUGAAAAGUGCUAUACAAAUAAAUUUGACUUGACUUGACUUAAAAUGUUUGUUUAUGGGAAUUUCAGUAAGUAUUAAAUGUGCUUUACUCUGUUCCUUUCAUGGAA